CUUUUCAUGUCCAGUCUGCAACUCCGCUGCGUCGGUAGUUCAGACUGCGGGGGAGUGUUGGAGUAUGUGUGUAUUAUGGCCCAAUAAGGCCCAUGUAUGACUACUAUAUAGCUACCCUCUAGGGUUAGCCCAAUAGACAAGCUUUACCUCUAAUAGUUUAGUAGCUCUGCGUUUUAACCUUGGAUUUUCCUUCCCUUUGUCUCAUUUUUGUACUGUUGGCUUGAAUCAAUGAGCCUGACCUAUGCAACAGUCAUUGGAAUUCUCCUCAAGCUGAAGAGACUCACAAAUGGGCAUCCUUCAUGUUACUCUUCGGUGUGCUGGAUGGCCACGGGCAACUGGGACAAUGGAGCAGGACGCCAUGCUGAACUGUAUAUGCGUGUUUAGAUGUGUGACGAGGACAGGAGCAUGUUCCAGAUGUGCAAAGAUGAGCAGGCAUCAAGUGGAUGAAGAAGUCAGAAGUAAGCUGGCUGCAUUGGAGGUGGGCCAUCAAAAUGAAAUUCAGAGAACAGUUUCUGCAUUCGCUCGACUUCAGAAAUAUGCAGAAUCAAGAAAAGAGAUAGACAGAAGACUAGAUGUGCCCUUCCAGAGAAGAAUGUAUGUACCUUUGUAAAUGUUUCUUGCAUUUCUUGAAGUAUGCAAUUUCCAUAUUUUUACAAAUACUAGAGAAAAAUUCUAUUUGUUUUAAUGAGAUAUAAAGCAUUUGUAGUACUAUUCCAAUGUCCGUAUCCAAAAUAGGAGCAGGUUCUCUCAGCAAUGAGCUAAUCGCGUACUGCAUUGUUUAGCAAUGCUGAUUUCUCUGUUAAAUUAUUCUGCCUUCAUUUAUUCUAUAUUCCUAAGUGAAAAGUGUAUGCAUUUACAAGGGCAUCUGGAACUUGCUUUCAGUGUGCUUUAUAUAAUCUGAAGAUAAGUCGUA
RNA transcript from Setaria italica (foxtail millet), 913 nucleotides. RefSeq lists it as uncharacterized. Lineage: Eukaryota; Viridiplantae; Streptophyta; Magnoliopsida; Poales; Poaceae. The record is from RefSeq and is a predicted model, not a curated record. The transcript has 2 exons.